GCCUGGGUGGCUCAGUUGGUUGAGCAUAUGACUUCAGCUCAGGUUAUAAUCUCACUGUUUGUGAGUUUGAGCCCCACAUCAGGCU
RNAcentral lists this transfer RNA (85 nucleotides) under Felis catus (domestic cat). It matches the Rfam family "tRNA". From Rfam's summary of the family: Transfer RNA (tRNA) molecules are approximately 80 nucleotides in length. Lineage: Eukaryota; Metazoa; Chordata; Mammalia; Carnivora; Felidae. RNAcentral also lists the same sequence under 2 other names. The record is from Rfam by way of RNAcentral.